Molecule: long non-coding RNA, 2655 nt
Filed under: Homo sapiens (human)
Lineage: Eukaryota; Metazoa; Chordata; Mammalia; Primates; Hominidae
Description: HSALNT0020235
Source: RNAcentral
GCGGCGCUGAGGUCAUCGCUCGCUGUCGUCAGUGCUAGGAACCUGCGCCCGGCUGAGCUGAGCGAGGCGAGAGGAGAAAGCGAGGCCCGGGGACGGGACUGAGAGCUCUGAAAGGAGGGAGGCGGCUCCCGAGUACUCCGCGCGGGGCAGGCCCCGGCCUCGCCUCUUCGCCCAUUUUUAAGGCUCGAGUUAGAGGCCACCUCCUCCGAGAAGCCUUCGGUGACACCACCUCUCCCAGACGGUUCCCCUUUCUGAUUCCCACAGCAUUUUCCAACCAUUCACGGUCAGAACCACUCACCAGGACGUGUUGUCACCAUUUUACCGCUUUGCCUCGUCUCUUAACUAGACGAAAUGGGUUCCUUUUGGCUCUUUGGAAAGGGAGGCUGUCUUCUAUUUAUUUCCGUGGUAAUCCCACCUCCCACAACAAGUUCCAUUCUACAGCAAUGUCUUUUCUCUUGCUGAGAACCAUUCAAGUCUAAGUUUUCUGGGACCGCCACCAUCACAGGCACUCGGUAGAUGUCUGCUGAAUGAGGAUAACUUCUACCCAACACCGUGAAGCCUGGCCCAGGGUCUGGCAUACAGAUGCCGUGUUUGUAAGUCCUGGUUGCUCAUCUCGCCCACUUGCACAGCCCACCUGUGUGGCCGACUCAGGAUUGACCCACCUGCUCUCUUCAGGCCAUAUUCCCACGCAGAAGUGGGUCCCACUCCUCAGGCCUCUGUGCUGGCCCCGUCUGUGGGGUUAGCAAGCAGCCCUGCUCUCCAUUUCCAGCUCAGAAGCAACUGGAUCGUUACCUCAUUGGUGACAACUUGACUGUGCUGCCCAGAGCUGAUAAGAAACAUCACCCGGGGAAGACCAGCUGCCUCUUCCUUGCUUCCUAAUCAGGGUGGAAAUACUGCUAAAUAUAUCACAACUCUUUGCAAGCAUCGUUGGGUAAUGAUCGGGACAUCUUUGUGGGUUCCCUAUCAUUUUCUCACAAAGUUGAGCCUUUCAAGGUCAGUUCUAGGCCAGCCAGUCUGGGAGUCAUUCUUUAGAAUCAGAAGAGAAUUUAAGAAGAGGAGAAGAUAAGAUUGUCUCUAAAACCUGCUAAUGAGAACUACAGGAAGGUGGGGAUGCUAGCUACUUUUAAUAUUUCUGGUUUGAACCCCUUCCUCCACCCCAGAAUGAACUGAGAGUAGGUACAGAAAUAGAUAAUGCAAAGACGGUUAGGGUUGAGGGUAAGCAGAAAACUACCCAUCUAGACCGAAGGAAGGCUUGCUAACAUAUCAGUAAGCAAACAGCUUUCUAAUCUGCAGGUAACAAGUUUUACAUCCCUGAGGACACUUUUUGAGAUAGGACUUUGUUUGUUUGUUUGUUUGUUGUUUUUUGUUUUUUUGAGACAGAGUCUCGCUCUGUCUCCCAGGCUGGAGUGCAGUGGCAUGGUCUCGGCUCACUGCAACCUUCACCUCCCAGGAUCAAACGAUUCUCCUGCCUCAGCCUCCUGAAUAGCUGGGAUUACAGGUGCAUGCCACCAUGUCCAGCUAUUUUUGUGUGUGUGUGUGUGUGUGUGUGUGUGUGUGUAUUUUUAGUAGAGAUGGGGUUUCAUCAUGUUGGUCAGGCUGGUCUGAAACUCCUGACCUCGUGAUCUGCCCUCCUCAGCCUCCCAAAGUGCUGGGAUUAUAGGCGUGAGCCACCGGGCCCAGCCUGGGGCUUUUUGAGACCCUAUUGAAGGCUGAGGAAGAAUCUGGAAGCUAAAGAGUAACCCAUUCCACCACCUGCUCUGAAGAUAGAAGAAGCAAAAAAAGAUUAAAUUGUACAAAAAGCACUUAAAUUAGACAACAGAAGAAUUUCCUGAUACAAAGUGGGUGUCUAAGAUGUGUUAAACAAGAUGCCUGCUCCAGCCAGGACUCAGACACUCCUGGAUGGAGAGCAUCUUCACAGUUUGGGAUAAAAGUGACUAUACAGAGUGGUGGAGUGAAGGCUGCAGGCCCCUCCCCAAGGUGGCAUCUAACCCCGGAGGUAUCAGGACCUCAGAGGCUACCCACAUGAUUUCCAGCUGAUGAGCAGAAAUAGCUGUGGCAGGUGCAGGCUUCACUUGCUGCCACCAACAUGGGAGCUCACCAAACACCCAGUGGCCAAAAGAACCAGGGUCUCUCUAAGCCCUGGGCUCACCGCCAGGCAAGCUUGGGUGCUUGGGAGGGCCGUCGUUCUUCACAGUGCAGCCCCUGGAUUUCUUCUCAAUUUACUCAACUCUCUCUCUUGAAUCCCAUCUGUGCAGCUUAGAAGUCACAAAUUAGAACCCCCCAAGGCAAAGCUGACCAUAGAUACAAAUGGUUUUGUCUGUAUAGUGUUUAAGCACUUAAAAAAUUCAUUGUGAACAUUUAAUAAUUAGAAAGUGUCAAAAUGAAAAUAUCUAUAGUUUCUCUCUAAAAACCAGAAGAUCUGUUAACACUGAUCCCACACUUCUAUUUGGCAAUGACUGGCCCCUAAGACAGGGGGUAUGUCCUCUAGCUCACCACAGUCUCCACCUUUACCUACUGCAUCCCUGCUGAGACAAAGUGGUACAUGCCAUUUAUUAAGGAUGAAUGCUGUUUUUUUUAAUUAUACUUAAUCCUCAUUUGCAUUACCUGCCUUCAUUCUGGAGGUAUUUGAGUUUGCAUCUCCUGAUAAAGAAUAAA